This 253-nucleotide ribosomal RNA is filed under the name uncultured bacterium. RNAcentral describes it as "partial 16S ribosomal RNA". It matches the Rfam family "Bacterial small subunit ribosomal RNA", at positions 524 to 776 of the family's 1533-position model. The record is from RNAcentral.
UACAGAGGUCUCGAGCGUUAGUCGGAAUCACUGGGCUUAAAGCGUGCGUAGGCGGAUGCGCAGGCGUCGUGUGAAAGCCCUCGGCUCAACCGAGGAAUUGCACGGCGAACCGCGCGUCUUGAGACGAGUAUGGGCGGUCGGAACGAUAGGUGGAGUGGUGAAAUGCGUUGAUAUCUAUCGGAACGCCAAAGGUGAAGACAGGCCGCUGGGCUCGUUCUGACGCUGAGGCACGAAAGCGUGGGGAGCAAACGGG